GAUAGAGGCCAAUCAUACCUAUGUAAUGUGGCUCCAUAAGAGCCCAAGAGGAGAGGGUUUAGAAAACUUCCAGACUGGUGAACGUGUGGAGAUUGGGGAGAGUGGAGCACCUGGAGAAGACGUGGAAGCUAAGUCUUUUUCCCAUAUCUUGCCCUAGGCGUCUCUUCCAUCUGGCUGUUCCUGAGUUAUAUCCUUUUAUAAUAAGCCAGUGAUCUAGUACAGGCAACAGGAUUAAAGAAGAGGGAAUCCAAAGAGGACGGCCCUUUGAUGUCAGGCAACCUGGUUACCAUCUCGGAAGGCUCUAAUCACCUGUCUGAGCUUGGCACAGAUCUCUGAUGCCUGAGGGAGAAACUGGCAAGAAUAUGAUCAGAACCAAAGCAGAUGCCUGUCCUGAGAAAAGGGAACAUAAUUUUUAGUGAUCUCGAAUGUUCAGGCAGCACUUCAGUCUCCUGCUAGUCACUGUGGGAGAUUUCCAGAUCUAGUCAGUAUCAAGAGACUCCGAGGGGAACAAUGCAGGAGAGCCGCCUCCAGCCUGGCUGUGAUAGCCCUCCCCACAUCUGGAAAAAAUAAAAAAGCAUUUCCUUCUUUCUAUAUGACAAACAGUCAAUCAUUUUGAAUGGGUGUUGUUUCAGGACUUCAACUAUUCGCCAUUUUUUUCCUCACUGUUUGAUGCCUGGAGUUUUUUUUCCUUUGCUUCGCUGGUAGAUACUUUAAGAAAUAUUCCUCAUUGCCUGAAGGCUGACUCCUUGACAUAUUUUGCACAAAUGUGUGUGUGUGCAUAGAAUCACACACUUGGGGGUGUCUUAGCUGUUGACACCUUAAGGCUCAAAGGGAGGGAGAUGGUGAUGGCUCUCAGAGGUCAGGUCUUUGGGGCUCUGAGACCCAUCAAGUCAGCAGGAAUCCCUUCCAGCUACCUUCGCCUUCCUUAUCUUCUUGCUAAAAUCCGGAAACUUUCGGAUAAUGUGCUUUAUGAAUGCUCCCAACCAACCUCUGCCAACAAUUUCAUCCCGAAUAUCCAGGCAGGUUCAUUUCCUGAGGUUAAUUUAAGACCUAGUUUCCAAGCAUGCCUCUUUUGUUCAAUCGUUACUCGAUAAACACUCAUUGACCCCUCUUGUCCCAG
Molecule: long non-coding RNA, 1120 nt
Filed under: Equus asinus (donkey)
Lineage: Eukaryota; Metazoa; Chordata; Mammalia; Perissodactyla; Equidae
Description: lncRNA (ENSEASG00005033796.1)
Source: RNAcentral